CCAGACUCCUACGGGAGGCAGCAGUGGGGAAUAUUGCACAAUGGGGGGAACCCUGAUGCAGCGACGCCGCGUGGGUGAAGGAGUAUUUCGGUAUGUAAAGCCCUAUCAGCAGGGAAGAACAAUGACGGUACCUGACUAAGAAGCACCGGCUAAAUACGUGCCAGCAGCCGCGGUAAUACGUAUGGUGCAAGCGUUAUCCGGAUUUACUGGGUGUAAAGGGAGCGUAGACGGCAUGGCAAGUCAGAUGUGAAAGCCCGGGGCUCAACCCCGGGACUGCAUUUGAAACUGUCAGGCUGGAGUGCAGGAGAGGUAAGUGGAAUUCCUGGUGUAGCGGUGAAAUGCGUAGAUAUCAGGAGGAACACCGGUGGCGAAGGCGGCCUGCUGGACUGCGACUGACGUUGAGGCCCGAAAGCGUGGGGAGCAAACAGGAUUAGAUACCCCAGUAU
Molecule: ribosomal RNA, 446 nt
Filed under: uncultured bacterium
Lineage: Bacteria
Description: partial 16S ribosomal RNA
Rfam family: Bacterial small subunit ribosomal RNA
Source: RNAcentral